RNAcentral lists this ribosomal RNA (460 nucleotides) under alpha proteobacterium KAT6. Its description in RNAcentral is "bacterial SSU rRNA". It matches the Rfam family "Bacterial small subunit ribosomal RNA", at positions 13 to 509 of the family's 1533-position model. Lineage: Bacteria; Pseudomonadati; Pseudomonadota; Alphaproteobacteria. The record is from RNAcentral.
UUGAUCAUGGCUCAGAACGAACGCUGGCGGCGUGCUUAACACAUGCAAGUCGAACGAGAUUCUUACUUCGGUAAGUUGACAGUGGCAGACGGGUGAGUAACGCGUGGCAACCUACCUUUUACUACGGGACAACAGUUGGAAACGACUGCUAAUACCGUAUACGUCCUCCGGGAGAAAGAUUUAUCGGUGAAAGAUGGGGCCGCGUUAGAUUAGCUUGUUGGUGAGGUAAUGGCUCACCAAGGCGACGAUCUAUAGCUGGUCUGAGAGGAUGAUCAGCCACACUGGGACUGAGACACGGCCCAGACUCCUACGGGAGGCAGCAGUGGGGAAUAUUGGACAAUGGGCGCAAGCCUGAUCCAGCAACGCCGCGUGAAUGAUGAAGGCCUUAGGGUUGUAAAAUUCUUUCGCUAGGGAAGAUAAUGACUGUACCUAGUAAAGAAGCCCCGGCUAACUCCGUGCC